Salmo salar (Atlantic salmon) is the source of this 47-nucleotide non-coding RNA. The record is from Rfam. NCBI's taxonomy places the organism in Eukaryota, Metazoa, Chordata, Actinopteri, Salmoniformes, Salmonidae.
GCAAAGGCUCUUUUGAGAGCCACCAUAUUUAUUAAAAGCAACUAAUU